This 231-nucleotide ribosomal RNA is filed under the name uncultured bacterium. Its description in RNAcentral is "partial 16S ribosomal RNA". It matches the Rfam family "Bacterial small subunit ribosomal RNA", at positions 104 to 334 of the family's 1533-position model. The record is from RNAcentral.
CGGGGUGGAGUAAUGUCUGGGAAACUAGCCUGAUGAGGGGGGAUAGCUACUGGAAACGGUAGCUAAUACCGCAUAACGUCGCAAGACCAAAGAGGGGGACCUUCGGGCCUCUUGCCAUCGGAUGUGCCCAGAUGGGAUUAGCUAGUAGGUGGGGUAACGGCUCACCUAGGCGACGAUCCCUAGCUGGUCUGAGAGGAUGACCAGCCACACUGGAACUGAGACACGGUCCAG